CCUGUCAGCAGAAGCAAUCAAGGAGAAUCUGGACAACCACCUGUCAAAGACGCUGUAGAAGGGAUUCUUGCAUUGGGUGAAGAAUUUAAUCUGAUGUCCUCUAAGGUCCCUUUUAAUCCUAAAAUGUGAAAAGCCUGGCAAUUUUUUAAAAACUUUCUCUUAGAAUCCAUAUGAUUGUUCCUCAAAGUGACAGUUCUGGGGAAACUUUAAGAACAUCAAGGAGCCAGAAACAAUUUCCCAAUUGUUUUUUGAAAAUGAAGGCUGGUGAAGACAAAACCUCCUCCUAGCACAUGAACUUUUCCUAGCAGGAUGCCUGCCUCCUUUUCUGCAAGCUGCGGCUAAAAUCCCUCCUCUAGUAUUCACUGGGCUUUCCUUCCGCUGAGCUCAUUACUACAUAGUGCCUCACAAUUUAUUGUUUCAUCAUUCUCUGUUUUUUGGGUGUUAAUUUAAUGUUCUCCACUAGAAAGCAAGAGACUUAAGAACAAAAACACACCUGUCUUCUUUCCUUUUUCUCAGUGUUAAGCAAGUGACUGGAGCCCAAUUCCUGCUGCCGCCAAGGAGUCAGGCCUGCUGGCCCUCUCCCCUUUGCCUCUCCUCUUUUACUAUUACAAAGCUGGCCCUUCAAAGCACAGUGCUCUCUGCAAUACAGAAGCCCUCGCUAUCUCUACAGUGGAGAAAAUGUGCGCCACGGGAAAAGGUCAUAGCAUAGAACAAUCUGAAGAGCACUGGUCUGCAUCCCACUUAGAAACCUCCAACUCCAAAUGUCAAUUUUCCUCCUGAGACAGCAUUUCUGGGCUGCUGCCUCCCGCUCCAGAGAGAUGUGCUUCUGGGAAAGUCAACUACACUGUGCAAGAGGUCUGUGAAAUGUGUCGGCACUUCCAUAAAAUAGAUGUAACUGAGGAUCUUCAGUCGGGCCCUCUUCUCCUGCUUAUUCCUUGGCAAAGAAUUUCUAAGAUCCUCCUCUAGCACCCUGGGCACUCAGGAAGUAAAAGCCACCUUUUUCUAGCCACUAGGGAAGAACAAGGGCUGGUGUUUCCCAGUCUGUCCGGAGAGUGACUCUUUACCCAACACAUGGAAGCUACCUGGAUGCUGAGUGAAGAUAAAUAGUGCCGUCUCCUUGGGUCGUUUAAUUCCAAGCAAGGCCCAUAUUGAUUUUGCCUCUCCCUGUACUAACCUGUUCGGUGAUGUACAGCUGAGGACCAUCUGCAUAACGGAGGGUAUAAUACUCUGGGUUUGGCAACGACCACCUAUGCAAGAGAAAAACAGUAUAUCCCACUUGGCCACUCUCUUGUUCAGAAGCUGCUCAUAAGUAAUUUUCAAAAGAGUUGCUCAAGGGAUUGGGUGGCCUAUUUGGAAUACAGUGGAAACAAAGCUUUAGGUUGUCAUGUUGAAAAAAUCAUGGCCUCAGCCUUUUGUAAAGAUGAGCACCACAAUAGGAGGUGUGCAGAACUGAGGAGGGGUCUCAGAUCCUACCUCAAUAGGGCAAUGCUAGACUUUAAGGAAAAAAUUAAGAAGUAUAAACGUCUUAGGGGUAUGGUUGUCAACUGUACUUCCUUCCCAAGACAAUGAUUCCCAAGACCCCCAUGCUGAGGACCUGCCUAACUGGAGAUCCUUCCCAGAACUCCCCUCAAGGUGUAGGAGUGCUCUUUCAGUCGGAGCUGCCACUGUUGAAAACGAGGUCCAUUUCAACCUACCCAUCACAAACUUCCUUGAUAAUGGAUGCCAGGGGCCGUUUCUGAAAGAGAGAGAGAGAAAGCCUUCAACAGCAGCAACAUCCUACUCAUGCCAAGGUUCUGACAAGAGGCCUGCCAAGCAGGGUCAAGCUGGGGCAUGAGAAUGAACUUCUUUCCUAACAGCUUUUGUUGAAGAGGAAGCCUCUCCCAAGCCAUGGUGACCGACCUUCCCUAGGGUGGGCCAGGCCCAAAGCUUAGCCUUCCUGUUGCUCGUUCUUACUCUUGAUGCCGGUGGUCCCCAUCCCUCAAGAUGUCCUCUGCCAUGCACUCCCCAGGUGCCUUUCCUUGAACCACUGCUUCUCACUUCAGGAGCAUACCUGGUCGAUUUCAAGGAGCUGGGCGUUAGCACCUGGCCACUCAAUGGCCACUUUGACAAUGUCUGACGGUGGUGGCAUCGUUCCCAAUGGGCUCUAAUUCUGCGAGACAAAAACACAGACACGGCUGCCUGGGGAGAAAGAAUCAGAAAGGUGGAAAAAGAGUAUUUCUUCAUUUUUCACUCUUGUUACAUGUUUUGAAGAGUUUGAAGACAGACACUGCAUAAAGUAACACAUGAAACUACCUGGUUUGAAUUUUUCUAGAUCAUACCACAACUUCUGCUUAGGAUUUUGUCUCUUGAGAUUAAAUCAGCAAGAAGAAAUGGGACAAACUAUCUAUCAUCCAUAGAUCAGCCAGUAGCAAGAUAUGCCAAUGUGGCACUUCAGUUUAAGAGUCAAGAAGACUCAGUGGUAGAGGAAUGUAUUUACUGCAAAUUCCUGUCUUGAGACCUUGGGAGGAGAGAAGCAUAUGCUCCGAGACAGAUAAGAAUAGACAGCCUUUUCUUGGUUGAGUGGUUAGCUGGAGGAGCCAGGCUACUUCUUUCUGCAGUCAUCCUAGGAAGAUCCCAGCAUCAGCAGGGCCCAGCUACAUGCUCUCUUGCUUCCUCCCCACUCAUCGAUGCCACCCCUUUCCCCUCAAAGGACACAAUGCAAAGCCUCCUCUGUGUGGGACGACAUCAGAAAAUGGGGAAGAUAACUGGGACAGGAAAUGCUAUUUUCGUCCCUACUGCCAAGGGCAAGGGCGGCUGACAACUCAAGUGGAGAGAGGUAAGGAUAUCCUCACACAAGGGCCCCUCUUAUAAGGACAAGGCUUUGCAAGUACCUCUGACCCCCUCCCCCACUUCUCUCCAAAAUAAAGGAAAAUAAAUCAUCCUGAGCAAGUCUGGAAGAUGGGCCCAUGUGACUGGUAUCCUAGGCAACUCUGAUAGCUUACUGGUAUUCCAAGCAGUAACUAAAGCAUUCUCUCUCCAAGGUCUGACGAAGGGAAGUCACUUGGCUGAUGGAUUAUUUCAAUGUAUAUUUACACUCCUUGCCUACAAGUUCAGGAGAGGCCCCUCUCUUAAUGAAAAAGACCUUUCUGCAUCCUCCAGGUUUAGCCAUUCACCCACAAUUCAUGCCUCGCUAAUGGGGACCACCUGCCUCUCCUGGCGUACAAAGCAUAGCUGUCGCGAGGCUAUUAUGCAUGUAUGCUAUCAAUUUUUCAGCCCAAACACAGAUGUCAGUUCUCACAGCCUGGUAAGUAUAAACCUCUUAGAUGAAAAGGAGUAAAAGUCCUGUCCCCCACAAGCCCAUCGGCCUCAGAAAGAGGGAUGCUUUCAUGACCAUUUCCUAGUCAGAAUGGGAUGCUUCAGAAGUCUACUGUCAUAAAAAGCCAGCAUUUCCAGAACAUGACAAUGUAAAGGAACUAGUUUUCCAAGUGCUUUCACUUAUUUUAUUGUGUCCUCCCAGCAGCCCCACGAAUUAGGCAGAACAGGAUUAUCACCUCCAUUUGAAGAUGGCACAACUAAAGCUCAGUGUUUUGUUAAGUGCCCAAGGUCACCCAGCUAGUAAGUCAUAACGGUUGACAGAACUUGGACUGGCUUCGGCCAAUGCUUUCCCCUUUUCCUUUGAGCCAGCCUCAACUUCUGUCCACUGCAAUUAAACGCAGCCUAAAGGGAUUGAAGUGGGUUGGCCUUAUGGCCCCCAAGGCUUCCAUAACUUCUGCAGCUCAUGGCAGAAUUUUUCACAUGUAAUUUUUAUGUGCCUAGACACACGACAAACCUCAGAAAAGAAACUGGCCCUAUCUGCAUAAUUUCUGGGGAAAAUGCUCUGCUCCAGUUACAGCAAGACAGGGAGUUCUUGUUCUAGGGGUGGCGCCAUCAAUCUCUGGAUGCUUAGAGAUGCAUCCUUAUCCUUAUCGGCAAAGCUGCUGCAAUUAGUAGACAGGACUGCACGGUUGUGAGGUCAAUUUUAAAAACUGAGAUAUAAUUUACAUACAAUAAAAUGCAGAGGGCUUAAGGGUACAUAUGUUUGUAUAUAUAAAUAUACAUCAUAUAAAUAUACACAUGCAUCUCCCUGUAACCAGCACUCAAAACGAGACACUGAACAUUUUCAUCACCCUAGAAAAUUACUUCAUACUUCCUCUUCCCGUCAAUCCUUCCAGUCCUUUAAAGGGGAAUUUCUGACUUAUCAUCAUCCAUGAGUUUUGCCUGGUUUUGUACUUCAUAUAAAUGGAACUAUACGAUAUGACUUUUUAGAUCAUUUGUUUAGUUUGGCUUCUUCUUAUUUUUAAAAUAAGCAGGCACAGAAGGUACAACAGAAAGAACACUGGGCUGGGAUAAUUGUCCCUGCUGAAACAAGUGACUGGAUUUAGAACCAAAGGCCUCAGGACCCAAUCCUAGGUCUUUCACAAUGUAUACAUGGCCCUUUAACCAAAUCUCAGUUUUCUUCUAUUGAAAGAUGUGAGUGUAGAACUAAAGCAUGUCUCAGGUGCCUUCUAAGUCUAAAAGUCCAUGAUUCUUAAGUGGAAUUUAAAAAAUCCAAGUGAGGAUGCCCAUUUUAAAGUCCUUACCAAAUGAAGUUACACCCUUCCUUAAUUUCGAUGGUGCUGCUAAGAAACAAACCCCAUGAUUUUUAACUCCUUUCUGAACGCCGUCUUUGGAGAUUAAGCUAAAGCUCAUUAGGUUAUAGCUAUUAUUUUCUCUUGACCCCAUAUGACAUAUCCUAGAUUGACUCUCUCUUUAUUAAAGUUAGCCCUGAAUGAUUCUCGGCUGUUCAAAAAUUCGUAUACAUUUUAAAGCAUGGAGAUUUGCAACCACCAAACUAUUUGAAAGAUAUUAAUAAGCCCCCAUUCUCAGUGACUCUGUCCUUCCCACAAAGCCCAGGCAGCCUCUCUGAACUGAAUGACACUCUCCACAACCCUGCCAUAGCUGAUGGGACUAAAGUGAAUACCCAACUUUAGCUGAACUAUUCCAGUUCUUUCUCUUGAAUUUAAAAGACAGAGACUGGCUGGGCGUGGUGGCUCAUGUCUAUAAUCGCAGCACUUUGGGAGGCCAAGGUGGGUGGAUCGCCUGAGGUCAGGAGUUUGAGACCACCCUGGCCAACAUGGCAAAACCCCGUCUCUAGUAAAAAUACAAAAAGUAGCCAGGCAUGAUGGUGGGCGCCUGUAAUCCCAACUACUCGGGAGACUGAGGCAGGGAGGACAGCUUGAACCCAGGAGGCGGAGGUUUCAGUGAGCACAGAUUGCACCAUUACGCUCCAGCCUGGGCGACGGAAUGAGACUCCAUCAUAAAUAAAUACACACAUACAUACAUACAAACAAAUAAAAGACACAGACUAAGGGAACUGGGUGAUAAUGACCCUGGAGAAGUAAGAUCAUAGUAAGCUUCAGAGCGAAUACCAUGGCAAGCCAAAGAUCCGUACGAGCCAAAGAUAUGGAGAAUAAAAAACCAAGAGCCUUUCAGAGGAAGUGAUUCUGCAGGAGGAAUCCAUAAAUAUCUAAAUGAACUGAGGCCAGAAAUCAGAAAGAGAUGGAAAAGCCAUUACCUGCUAACUUUCCAGAUUAUGUGGCUAUUACUUCCUAUGCUCGGGGUACCUGAAAGUCCACUGUAUCCUGCCAAUAAAACUCCUAUAAAUUAAGCUAGUCUAUGUUUCUACUCAUUGCAACUAAUACGCCUAAGACCACAGCUGCCCCCAAGCUCUGCAGGAACUCUAAAACGGAGGUCUGAGCAGACAGCAGCAUCACUAGCAUAUG
RNAcentral lists this long non-coding RNA (5780 nucleotides) under Homo sapiens (human). Its description in RNAcentral is "HSALNT0267905". Lineage: Eukaryota; Metazoa; Chordata; Mammalia; Primates; Hominidae. The record is from RNAcentral.